This 7037-nucleotide long non-coding RNA is filed under the name Citrus x clementina. RNAcentral describes it as "Citrus clementina (C. clementina) long non-coding RNA (CCLE_LNC000977)". Lineage: Eukaryota; Viridiplantae; Streptophyta; Magnoliopsida; Sapindales; Rutaceae. The record is from RNAcentral.
ACAUACUACUUGUUAAGUUCCUGUUGCCGCUCCCUGCUGCACUCACAGCUGCCGGCGACUGCACCUCGACUUUUACUACUGCUAUUGCUUUGUUCUGAUCAAGCUUCAGUCACCGACGAUUGGCUAGCCGCCAUUUCUGUGCAUCUGCUGCCGCUCAUCUCAAUCACUGUUGUCGUUCCUUUGUCGUCACAUCAAGUUUCAGCCUAGCCAACCGCCGUUCCUUUACUGCCGAGAUCAAACACCAUUUCUCUCACUUCUCUUUCUCAGUACAGGCUUGAAAAUGCCUAUCGGGACUCUGUUUUUUGUAGCUACUCUGGAAUAUUUAAGUGGAAUCAUGUGUUGUGCUUAUCAUUCAAUCACUAGCAGCCAAUGUCGGGGUUGUCGCGGAUAUCAGUGCUUCAGUUGAUUGGCUUAAGGAAAAUGGUUCCAAGAAGGUUGGCAUGGUUGGAUAUUGCAUGGGAAGUGCUCUCACUAUUGCAUGUUCUGCCAGGUUCUGCUUCCACCCUUUUUUAACAUUAAAAUUGAUGUGGGCAUUUUAAUUUUUUUUUACUUGGAGACUCCCUAAUUAAGAAUAAAAAUUUUAAUCAGAUGCAUGCCUACAAUAUCUGGAUCCAUAUGAUGUGAGAUGUGUUCUGAGGGAUCAUAUUGGAAGGAAUUUUUUUUUCAAUUAACGGGUGAAUGACAAUGGAAUACGGUCUACUAAAGAAAGGUGUUUGGUGCCCGAAAACACUUUGAUCUUUGUGAGUAAUUUCCAACACAUUGUUGAAUAGUAAACUUGUUUUUACAGCCCAAGUCUACGGAAUUCUCAAGAUGAUCAUUAAAGGUGCAUGCUUGAGUUGAAUAAUUGCUAGCUAUCUGGCAAUGCAUGUAUGACAUAAUUUGACCCCUCUAACAAUACUUUAAGGCUUGAUGACUUUUAUAAUAUUUAAAGAAUUGAUUAAAAGUCUCGAAUCUCCAAUGAAUUUUGAAUUAUUUGGAAAUGAAAGGUAAAAUUCAAAAAGAGGGCAAAAUUUGACCUCUCCAACAAUACUUUAGGACUUGAUGACUUUUACAGUAUUUAAAAUAACCUCCAGAGAUUUUUAGUGGCUAUUUUUACUGUAAAAUAGCCUUGCAGAUUUCCAGGGGCUGUUUUAAGUCAAAGCAACUCCCAAAAUUUUUUUUAGCUAGUUUGCAUUGAAAAUAUUUCUGAAGAUCGUUGAGGAAGGAGGGGAAUGAGAGCAAUAGUUUUUAGAAGGCUUAAUGAUGAAUUUGAUAAAUGUGACAUUUGUUAUGGGACUAAAGUGAAAGAAGUUUAUGUUGAGGCUAAAAGCUUGAGUGAGCUAAUGGAUAUUUUGAUUGCUUUUGGAUAAAAAUUAAGAAAUUGGAAGGAGUUCUGUACAAUUCUAUGUAAUUCAAGCUUAAAGAACAAAAACAUGAAAGCAAGUUGAUUUUCAAACUUGUUGUUGAGUAUAUACAUCUUUAAUAGCAUAGGCUAAUUUGUUAAUGAACAUUGUAAGUUGAUGAUGAGAUAUCUUAUCUUUCUUUUAUUCAAUAUAUGUGGCAUUAUUUUUGAAGUUUAACAAUAUUAAUCUUGUGAUUAACAGUUUAAUGGAGAGAAAGCAUACAUUCAGGAUGAACUAGAUGAGGUUCAUUUGGAGUGGGCUAACCAUUCUUCCAAAAUCCUUGUUUAUAGCUGGACUUUGUUGUUAGUUGUUACAAUUUGUUGAAAUUAAAGUUGUAAUGUCAAACUAUAUUGGUUCUGUUAAGGAUUGUAGUAUAAAUGCUAUGCAUUUGAUAACAUUGGGUAUUUUGAUUGAUUCUACAUAGAUUGGGUUGCUGGAUAUGGGUUGGAGUGUUGCUAGGUAUAUGGCUAGAAUUAGAGUGCUGUUGGAAGAUGGUAUUGCUGCUAGAAGUUUUGGAGGAAGUCAUGCUAGAAGUCUUCUUGUUGGAAUAUUUGCAUUAAUCGUUGGAAGUUUUGUUUGGUAACUUCGCUUGGUAGCUACAAUUUUAAUUGUUUUUCUUAGAGUUUGAUUGAAAUUUAACUGUUAUUUUAUACUUUGAAAUGGUUUUUUUUUCAAUUUGGAAAUUUUUAUUAUGUAUUAGUGGUGAUCACAUUGGAUAUUAGAUAUAUUUCUUUUAAAAUUAAUUUGUUGCAUUGAAUGGAUGUUAAUUAAUAUUAAUUGUUUUUAGUUUUUUUUAUGAUAUUCAUUUUAUUAAUUAAUUAAAUUUGUAAAUAGGAAUUCAUCAACAAAUUCUAAUUAUAAUAUAUUUUUUUUAAAUCAAAAUUUUAUGACGGAAAAUAUCCAUCAUAAGUUUUAUCGUAAAUAAUUUUCCGCCAAAAUUAAAUAAUAAAAUUAUAAAUGAUAAAUUGAAUCUCCUACCAAAAAUUUAAAAAAAAAAACCUCAAAAAUUUAAAUAAAUUUAAAUUUAAUUAUAAUUAAUUUUUCACAUUAAAAUAUUAUGUGACGGAUAUAUGACUGUAAAACAUUAUCAUGAAUUCAUGACAGAAAAUAUUCUGUCAUAAAUUAAUGACAGUGACAUAGAUGACGGUUAAACUGUCUGUUAUGCACCCCCUUUUAUGACAGUUAUUUUCUGUCAUUUAUUGUCUGUUUUCUUUUAGUGACGUUAGUUACAUGUUAAGUUGACGCUUUUUUGAGCUAUUCUUAUGCUAUCUCAAAUCACUGGUUUUUCUCCUUUUUUUGCUUUAGAGAGAGUAGAACUUGGAAUGAGGGAUAAAAAUAUAGGUAAGCUGAAGAAUUUGGCAGAGAUAGUGACUUUCUCUUGUUUUUGGGUAAAACGCCUCAAUUUUCUUAAUAUCGUCAUAUGACUUUGUUUAGUAGUAGUAUUAUUAAUUAUGAUUUCUUUGAUAUUUAGGCUUUGGGUUGGCUUUUUGGUGAUUUCAAGGCUGACGUUAACACUUGAGAAGGUGAGAGAAUGCUUCAAGACGUUACGAAGUUAAAGCUUUAAGAAGGUAACUGUGCGCAAUGAUUUUUUUUUAACAUCAAAACUGAAAAGAACGGUUUUUGUUUGUUUUGCACGCCUAAUUUUACUUGAAGCAUGUGAUUUGGUGACGUUUGGGUUGCUAGAAAAUUGAUUAUAAAGUGAAAAGAUGAUAAAUAGUUUAUGGAUUUGCAGAAAAUUUAAAGAUUGUUGGACUGUUAUCUUAACUUUGAUUGUUUCUAAAUAUGAAUAAACGAUGCUUGAUUAACUUAAAAUUUUGAGUAAUAAAAGCUGAAUGUGUAUAUUUCAUUUCUGGACAUUUAAGAAUGAAUUGAAUUAAUUGUUGAUUUUUAAUGGAUUUUUCAAAUUGGUAGGUUGCCUCGGAACGUAUCAGAAACUGUGUAUGUACCGUGUUUGAUGUUAUAAAUGAACAAUCUAAUGGUGUCAAAAUGAGCCAAAAUUUUGAAACAUUAAACUUAAAUAUGUCUACAUCAAAUUGGAAAGUUCACAGUAAUUGAAAUUGUGGUUCAUAUUUUAUGAUUUUUUAAACUCUACUUCAACAGUAAAGAACAAUUCAGUUAUUUUUUUAUCUUAUGGACGACUAGCUUAAUAAUAUAAAAAAAACUUGAAAUUUUUAUACAUUAUGAAGUUAAAAUUUACGUCCAUGUUCUGAAAAUUUUCAUCCCAAUAUAUUGAGUAUUUUAAUUUUAACAAAUCACCAAAACUCAGCUAUUUCUGUGUGAAUUAAAAAGGUUGUUUUAACUAGUUUAGUUUAAUCCUAUAAGAACUUAUUGUAGAAUUGUCUAAAUGACUUGAAAAUUUUAUAUGUUGUGUGUUUAUGUGUAAUAGUAUUCUGGAACUUUUCAUAAUAAUCCGAAUAGUGUUAAAUUUUUAAAGAAAAUCAGAAGUUCAUGUUGUUGGUAUUUCCUCUCAAUAUACUAGUUUUCUGUAUUUUUGAAUGGGAUUGUAGAAAUAGAAAUAAAUAUUAUUAAAUUGAUCUAAAAUUUUAUAUUCUACGUGUGUUACAUGUCUAGAUUAUAUUUGCAAAUUUAUAUAGUGAUUGAACUGGCCUAAUAACUCAAAAGGAUUGUUGAACAAGGCAUGUCUAGAUUAUAUCUGUAGAACUCCAUGAAUUUUAUUUGUACAUCUUUUGUCAUUCAAUUUAUCAGAUUAUAGACUUUGAAGUUUGGUUUUAUGAAUCGGAGAUUGACAUUAUUUUGGCUUGUUAGGGAAUUUAAUGGAUUCUUGAGAUUGAUUCCUAAAUAAUUUUUUUAAAUGUCCAUUUUCACCGUGAAUAAUUCUUAUGAACAUGGUAUUGUUCAAGAAUUGAUUUGGAAUCUUUGAGCAUGUUUUCAUGGCCUCUUGGAUGAAUGAGAUAUGAUGAGAAUCAUUAUGAUCACUAUUUUAUGGGUUAGUAGCUCAUGCAUUGCUUUUCGGGUAUUUGUUAAGGGAGAUGCUAGAAGUAGUUUGUGUGCUAUGCGUGGACAAAGCUUUGGAGUAUUUUGCGAUUUGUUACGUCCUUCAUAAGUGUUCUUUUGUUAAGAUGUAUUUUGGAGACUCGGGUUAAUGUUCUAGCAUGUUAUUCUAGCAAUAUGAUAUGCAUUUUUGUUGAGUUCUAAGAGCCAAAUAUAGAUACACACACACACACACACACACAUAUAUAUACAUAUGUAUAGAGUUGGCAAAAUUUGACACGAUCUGAUUACCCGACACGAACACGACAUAAAUAAAUGGGUAUGGGUCGUCAAAUUUAACACGAUUAUUAAAUGGAUCGGGUCCAGGUCAACACGAUUUUUUUCCGUGUCGGGUUUGGGUUAAAAUUCUUGACCCAUUUACCCGAUCAAUAACCUGAUUAUAUUUUCUAUUUUAAAAUAAUUUACAUAUUCUUAUAAUUAAAACUCAAAUAUUUGAGAUGAUUUUCUUUUUUUUUUAUUCUUUAAAAGGGUGAAUAUAAACACAAUAUUUUAUUUAUAAAAUUUUACAUACAUUUAGAGCUUCAAUAGUGUAAAUGUGUAAAAAUUGAUAGACAUGUAUAUUUUAUAAUAUUGAUAUAUAAUAUUAUAUAUAUAUAUAUAUAUAUAUAUAUAAUUAAAACCUCAAUAGUGUACAUGUGCAAUAUAUUGGUAGAUAUGUACAUUUUAUAAUAUCGAUAAAUUAUGUAUGUAUGUAUGUUUGUAUGUAUUUAUGUACAUACGUAUGUAUGAUAGUGUGUAAAUAUUUGACGUAACUUUUGUUCAAUAUAUAGAUAUUAAACGGGUUAUUGGGUAACCCGAUUAUUUUUCCGUGUUGGGUUUGGGUCUCAAUAUUUUGACACGAUUAUUAAAUGGGUCGGGUUUGGGUCGACCUAAAUUUGACACGACACGAACACGACCCGAUGACCCGUUUUGCCAGCUCUACAUAUGUAUAUAUAUAUAUUGAUAUGCUAUCAUCUGCAAUAUAUAUGUAUAUAUAUACAUAUAUACAUAUGUGUAUAUAUAUAUAUAUAUAUGUGUGUGUGUGUGUGUGUUGAAAAAAUAGCAUAUCAAUAUGCUAUUUUGAGGGCACAUUUUGAGUGGGUCCCACUUAACGAAAGUGGGAAAUCUUGUGAAGUUCGGGUUCUACUCCGUGAAUACUUCGAAAGUAUAUAUUUAUUUACUCAAAAUGGUGCUUGGGUGAAUAAAAAAUUGUCUCUCAAGGUGCACCCUUGAAGUUGAAAAUAUGAAAGGAAAUGAGUUUUAUCCCACAAGGAAAAAAUAAGCCAAGGAAUUUGUGUUUAUAUAUAGACACUUACCCAUGCAUGAGCAAGAAUUAUAAGGUUAGAGGCUCUCUCCACACACACGUGAGCGGGGGGUGCAAAUCUAAGACUGAUUUGGUUGAACUCGUGUGAGCCCGCGUGUCCUGCAUACACGAAUUGUUUUUAAUUUUCUUUUAAAUUUUUUGUAACAGUUUCACAAUUUUUGAUUUCAAAGAAUUUGUAACAGCUUCACAAUUAUUUUUUUGGUUGUUAUGCAAUUUAAUUUUUGAAUUCAAUUGGCUGUUACAACAAUUAAAUGUUAUAUAUUCAACAGUUUCACAAUUCUUGAUUUCAAAGGAUUUGUAACAGCUUCGCAAUUAUUUUUUGGGCUGUUAUGCAAUUCAAUUUUUGAAUUCAAUUGGCUUAUUUGAAUUUAAACAAUUCAAUUGGCUGUUGCAACAAUUAAAUGACAGAUAUUGAAUUCGGAAAUUCAAUACUACGCUACUGUUACAUCCUCACGUGUAUAAAAAGGCAGUUUCCUCUUCUGUUUUUAACACAUAGAAACCAGCACACAGAGCAUUUAAAAUUUUCUUUCCUCCUUCUUACGUCUUGUUCUUGAUCGAGUUUGCAGCUGUUGUGGUUCGUCGAAGUUAUCUAUAUGUGUUUGACGGAUAAUUCGUGCCUGUUGUAUCCUGGGAAACAGUUACCAGCAAACUUAAAACACUGUAGUAGGUGGUAAAUCUGUUUUAAGGACACUAUAUUACAGGCCUCAUAUUUAUUUUCUUUGGUUUCCAGUAGCUAUUUUUUGCUGUUGUUUAAUUUCAGUUGCUGUCUUGCUGCAGUUUGAUUAUGUUGCCAAUUAAUUUCGUGUAAUUAGCUACUGGUUUAUAUUUGUUAACUCACUGUUGUUAUUUUUCGAACAAUAUGUAUGUAUGUAUAAAUAAGUUUUAUAAAUUUUAGUACACUUCUUGGAUGCAGGGUCUGACAUAGGUCGACACAUUUUUCUUUUUGAUAAUGUUAAGCAAAAGCCUCCAUUGCUCUAUACGAAUAGUGGAAUAUGAUAAUGAAAAUUAAUUAUGUAUGGGGAGCACCCCCCAACUCUCUUCUUACACAUAAUAUGGGUUUCCUUUACAAACUUUGAUGAAAUUAAUCCAAAAUAAUUAAAGCAUCAUUAUGUAUUAUUUGAUUUUUUAAAAUAAAAAAUUUUACAAAGUUAACAAUUGAACUCAAAAUUUACAAAUUGCCAAUUGAACUCAACAUUUUUGUUAUUCGGUGAUUUAAAAUUGUCACUGUAGCGAGUUUCGCUUAAAAAAUUAAACAAAUUACAAAUAUGAAACAAAUAAUAAUAAAAAUGACAAAUUAUUACAUGGAAUAUCAAAUAAUAAUCACUUAAAUUAUCAACUAA